UACCUAUGAAUGAUUAUAUACUUACGGCCUCUGUAGCAGCAGGCAGUAAUCCAGCAGGACUGGAACCACAUCCUGAACACACCACACAGAGACAGAGAGAGAGAGAGAGAGAGAGAGAGAGAGAGAGAGAGAGAGAGAGAGAGAGAGAGAGAGAGAGAGAGAGAGAGAGAGAGAGAGAGAUUGACUUUGAAUGUUCAAUGAAAAUUUUUGGUCCCAGAGAAGGACACCUCAGUCUGUCUGCUUGCUCAGCUUGGCCCUGCUUAUUCGCUGCCUGCCUGGAAAUCACCAUUGUACAUUUCUGUACAGUUGUCAAAUAAAACCUGUAUUUUUUCCAUUA
Long non-coding RNA from Micropterus dolomieu (smallmouth bass), 337 nucleotides. RefSeq lists it as uncharacterized. The transcript is spliced from 2 exons. The record is from RefSeq and is a predicted model, not a curated record. NCBI's taxonomy places the organism in Eukaryota, Metazoa, Chordata, Actinopteri, Centrarchiformes, Centrarchidae.